CCGCCACCUCUCUCGCAGCCCGCCAUCAUAGACACUUUUGCUUUCGCGACAGCCACAGGCAGCAACACAUCUCGUCCUCUCUUUCUCCCUUCUCUCUCCCCAAGACAGAC
This 110-nucleotide non-coding RNA is filed under the name Astrosyne radiata. Lineage: Eukaryota; Bacillariophyta; Fragilariophyceae; Cyclophorales; Cyclophoraceae. The record is from RNAcentral.